Molecule: long non-coding RNA, 209 nt
Filed under: Gossypium barbadense (sea-island cotton)
Lineage: Eukaryota; Viridiplantae; Streptophyta; Magnoliopsida; Malvales; Malvaceae
Description: long non-coding RNA (GBAR_LNC001356)
Source: RNAcentral
UAAAAUUGGUGAAGAAUGUGCUUACCAUGUGAAUCGAACUUCAGUUGAUGAAGAAUGUGCUUUGGAAAUAUUUGACCGUCUAGGUCAUUAUUAUUCGAAAGUAUAUAUAUGUGAUAGCUAAGUAAUGCGUUUAUUGAUAUUAUGGUUCGAGAUGAAGCUCUAGAUUAAUUUCAUCGAACAGUUGAAAUGAAUGACUAAGGAUAUUCAAU